AUUGAACGCUGGCGGCAUGCCUUACACAUGCAAGUCGUACGGCAGCACGGGUGCUUGCACCUGGUGGCGAGUGGCGAACGGGUGAGUAAUACAUCGGAACGUACCUUAUCGUGGGGGAUAACGCAGCGAAAGCUGUGCUAAUACCGCAUACGCCCUGAGGGGGAAAGCGGGGGAUCGCAAGACCUCGCGCGAUUAGAGCGGCCGAUGCCUGAUUAGCUAGUUGGUGGGGUAAAAGCCCACCAAGGCGACGAUCAGUAGCUGGUCUGAGAGGACGAUCAGCCACACUGGGACUGAGACGCGGCCCAGACUCCUACGGGAGGCAGCAGUGGGGAAUUUUGGACAAUGGGGGCAACCCUGAUCCAGCAAUGCCGCGUGAGUGAAGAAGGCCUUCGGGUUGUAAAGCUCUUUUGUCAGGGAAGAAACACCGGCUCUAACACAGUCCGGGAAUGACGGUACCUGAAGAAUAAGCACCGGCUAACUACGUGCCAGCCGCCGCCGUAA
Molecule: ribosomal RNA, 501 nt
Filed under: uncultured bacterium
Lineage: Bacteria
Description: partial 16S ribosomal RNA
Rfam family: Bacterial small subunit ribosomal RNA
Source: RNAcentral